RNAcentral lists this ribosomal RNA (681 nucleotides) under Viola lutea. Its description in RNAcentral is "eukaryotic LSU rRNA". The stretch from base 278 to 433 matches the Rfam family "5.8S ribosomal RNA". The record is from RNAcentral. Lineage: Eukaryota; Viridiplantae; Streptophyta; Magnoliopsida; Malpighiales; Violaceae.
UUUCCGUAGGUGAACCUGCGGAAGGAUCAUUGUCGAAACCUGCCCGACAGAGCGACCCGCGAACGCGUUACAAACACUGCGCUGGCGGCCUCGGCCGCUCGCGCGGCUGUGCUGCGGCUGCGUGCGCAAGCGCGCUGCCCGUUCCACGGCCACUUAAAGAACCCACGGCGCGGACUGCGCCAAGGAACAUAAAACUUACGAGAGCGAGCGCUCCCUCCUCGCCCCGGAGACGGUGCGCGAUGUUUGGGCGGCCUCGCUGUCCAAUGAUAAACUUAACGACUCUCGGCAACGGAUAUCUCGGCUCUCGCAUUGAUGAAGAACGUAGCGAAAUGCGAUACUUGGUGUGAAUUGCAGAAUCCCGUGAAUCAUCGAGUCUUUGAACGCAAGUUGCGCCCGAAGCCUUUUGGCCGAGGGCACGUCUGCCUGGGUGUCACGCAACGUCGCCGCCAACGCCGCCCUUAGGGGCGCGCAGUUGGGGGCGGAAUAUGGCCUCCCGUGCGCCUCGGCGCGCGGUUGGCCUAAAUAUCAGCCCCCGGCGAGGAUCGCCACGACAAGCGGUGGUUUUUUCAACGAAGGACCUCGGGUGUUGUCGUGCGGCCUUCCGGAGGGAACGGACCCUGCGCUCUCGAGCGCAAUCUCUUUCGAGACCCCAGGUCAGUCGGGAACACCCGCUGAAUUUAA